RNAcentral lists this ribosomal RNA (465 nucleotides) under uncultured bacterium. RNAcentral describes it as "bacterial SSU rRNA". It matches the Rfam family "Bacterial small subunit ribosomal RNA", at positions 331 to 793 of the family's 1533-position model. The record is from RNAcentral.
CCAGACUCCUACGGGAGGCAGCAGUGAGGAAUAUUGGUCAAUGGGCGAGAGCCUGAACCAGCCAAGUCGCGUGAAGGAUGACGGCCCUACGGGUUGUAAACUUCUUUUGUCAGGGAGCAAUUGGGUCCACGCGUGGGCUUAGCGAGAGUACCUGAAGAAAAAGCAUCGGCUAACUCCGUGCCAGCAGCCGCGGUAAUACGGAGGAUGCGAGCGUUAUCCGGAUUUAUUGGGUUUAAAGGGUGCGUAGGCGGAAUAUCAAGUCAGCGGUAAAAAUUCGGGGCUCAACCCCGUCGUGCCGUUGAAACUGGUUUUCUUGAGUGAGCGAGAAGUAUGCGGAAUGCGUGGUGUAGCGGUGAAAUGCAUAGAUAUCACGCAGAACUCCGAUUGCGAAGGCAGCGUACCGGCUCUACACUGACGCUGAGGCACGAAAGCGUGGGUAUCGAACAGGAUUAGAUACCCCUGUAC